This 202-nucleotide microRNA precursor is filed under the name Oryza meridionalis. RNAcentral's name for it is "MIR812 microRNA precursor family". It matches the Rfam family "MIR812 microRNA precursor family". The record is from Rfam by way of RNAcentral. Lineage: Eukaryota; Viridiplantae; Streptophyta; Magnoliopsida; Poales; Poaceae.
UAUAAGGGAUUUUGAGUUUUUGUUUGCAUUGUUUGACCACUCGUCUUAUUCAAAAAAUUUUGGAAUUAUUAUUUAUUUUUUUGUGACUUACUUUAUUAUCUAAAGUACUUUAAGCACAACUUUUCAUUUUUUAUAUUUGCACAAAUUUUUUGAAUAAGACGAGUGGUCAAACAGUGUAAGCAAAAACUCAAAAUCCCUUAUA